AAUGGGUUCCGCCUCUUUUUGCCUUACGUUUUUCUUUUUUUGUCUUUUCUGUUGUUUAUACUUUGCCACAGUUUCAAUGUUUCUUUGUGUGUGUAUCCAUGGUUGGCCGCUUGCUUGAUUGUGGUUUCUAAUUCUUCUUGUUUGCUUUGCCAGGUAGUGCAGUGGGUUUGUGUUCUAUUUGGGAGGGCCCUAAAUGCGGCCAUUUUUGCGUGCCAUGGUUCUUUUGAGUUUCUAUGGAUGGAGGGAGGGACGUGUGUUUCUUUCCGGAGGGCUUUGGUCUGGUAUUCUCCUCUCACCAAAGGAUCCUAGAAUGUUUGCAUUCAUAAAAACCCACAAAACCCCGAUUACUAUAAGACCGGUUGUUGAAAGGAGAGACGCCUCGACAUUUCUAGUGGAGAAAGCUAUAGCCAAAUGGGCAAAGGAAAAAAUGAAAGGGUACAAAUGGUCAAUAA
RNAcentral lists this long non-coding RNA (452 nucleotides) under Androctonus crassicauda. The record is from RNAcentral. Lineage: Eukaryota; Metazoa; Arthropoda; Arachnida; Scorpiones; Buthidae.